Long non-coding RNA from Vitis riparia (riverbank grape), 684 nucleotides. RefSeq lists it as uncharacterized. The transcript is spliced from 2 exons. The record is from RefSeq and is a predicted model, not a curated record. Lineage: Eukaryota; Viridiplantae; Streptophyta; Magnoliopsida; Vitales; Vitaceae.
UCUGUUUUGAACUCCAUAUGGCUAGUCAGAAAGGAGCAUAAAUGAGAUGAAUAGGUGUAAUAUAUUUUAUGCUGCUACAUUUUAUUUAUCAAAUUCUUCUUAUUCCAGCUUAAUUGCACUAUGUUAGUUAUUAUUUAUUUUCUUUUCCGUUUUCUCCAGCUUCCUAGGAUGUUACAGCAAGAUGCAAUUGCACGCUAUUAUGGACUUGAGAAGGGACAAGUUGUGAAAGUUAUUUAUAAUGGCGAAAUUACUGGGUCACAUGUUACCUACAGUGCAAACCAAAUCACAAGAGGAAGAGGGAAGAAUAUCUGGAAGUCUAGAAGUAUUGGGGGCAUGUAAAUACUAGGGAUUAUCCCACUGCUACCAGUGGGUGCAAAUGGUAAAGAAUAAUCUUGAAGGAAAACUUGAGGUAAGCAUUUCACUAUAUUAUAGGCCCUUGGGAGGGUUAGACUGGUUGCAGGUAGGAAUAACUGGAGAAGAGAUGUUUGGAGAAUGGUGGUCCAGAAGGGUCUUGUCUUCUGCAAUGACCCUUUUGGUAUUGAAAAGAACGUGUAAUGCCUUUCAUUUAUUACUCCAUAGUCGAAUGAUUCAAUUUCCCCAUUCACCGUGAGCAACAUCCUCUGGAGCCAUUCUAGGGUGAAUAUUUUUUCUAUGAAAAAAUAAAAGCUAAUAAAGCAUUUUGUA